GUUGCCGUCCGCCCAGGCCGGGGCGUUUGUUUGUUAAUUGCGGCGCUGUUGCGCUUCGCGCUCGCGUGGAGCUCCCGCUGCGGCCGUAAUGACUGCGAGCGCGGGAACGCGCCGCGCUGGGGCCGGAGGAGCGGAGCGGGGCGGGAGGGAAAGGGCCGCCCGAAGUUCGCUGCCUCUGCCGACGGGAUCCUCCGCCGCCCCUUUCUCCUCCCCAUGUAAAUAGACGAGCAGGUCUCCCGUCGAGGAGGAAAUGGGCAAUAACGACGCGAUAAACGUGUUCGCUGUGUAAUCAUUGCGUGAGAGAAGAGAUGCAGUGUGAAGAUGCUGAGCGUCCUGAAGCUGUUCAGUAACAAAGCAGGAACUAUGGAACUUCGUAGCAGUUUAAAAAUGAUGACGUACCCAAAUUUCCUUGGAAGACUGUGAUAAUUUCUCUAAUUGUCUUUCAGAUAUAUAAAACAGCGCAGCCGUGGGGAGGGCGCUCUGCUUUAUGUGACUGAAAAGCAGCCUGGAUAGCUUACAGCUGUGGAGUCACAGCCGUUGUGUGCUCCUCCAGCAGAGGCUUCACUGAAGUCACUGGAAGCACUGAGAUGAAGGAACCAGGGCUCAGGUCUUAAAAAUGGGCUGUGUGUUUUUUUCCAGAAAAUACAACAGCUGCUUUUCCUGAAAAACUGUGCUUUGCUGUAGCCGUACAGAUUACUUGAGAACACUUUGUAGUGGUUUCCAAACAGACGUCCAGUCAUCACACCAUGCAGAAAUAGAAAACCCGCAGAUGAAGGCAAAAGUGUUACAGAUGCUGCAACUCUUUGCAAACCUGUAGAUUUGGCAACAAGUAGUUAAUGCUUGGGCAAGUCUUUGUUGCCACAAAUGUUGGUGCCACUUCAGUUCAAACAUCCUGGCUAUUGCUUGUCAUUGGAUUCUCUAAGCCUAAUUUCUGUCUGCUUUUAAGGCUUUGCUCAUUUGAUUGCAUAGGUCACAUCAAACCAAAUAAUGGCAACUACAGAGCUUUUAGUUUGAAAGGCCACAAAGCUUCAUCCAGAGACUGUUUCUGCAGUGAUUACCUACAGGACAUGGGAUUUUGCAUGGACAGCAUGGGAUUUUGCAUGGGCAGCAUGUUGAACGACACCAUGAAAUGAGAAAGUAGAGCUUUGUGAGAACAGAGUAAAGGGCAAGUAGAGGAAAGAAUAUCUUUGCAGUUCAGACUUUUUUCCCACGUGCCACGUGUGGUCCCAAACUGAGCAGUGUGAUGAGCAGUCCAAGUAUGGGAAGGAAUGCAUUGAUAUGCACUUCUGGAAGUCAGCAAAGCAGGCAUUAUGAGUAAAAAUCCAGCUCUAUAAACUUGCAAAGAAAAAAACAGGGAUUGGAGAGUACAAGGUGCAGUGAGCAGGCGACAGAGAAGGAGAAGAAACUGCUGGAAGAUUGCUUUGCUGUCCCUUUACUACAAAGGAGGAUGACAAAGUGAUUGAUCAGUGCUGUGUUCUGAGGACUGCUCCAGCAGUGCAGCAGUGAAGCUGCAGGUUGUGGCUGGAGGAUUUUCUGCAGAAAAGAAGCAUAGGCCUUGAUUAGACUCCUUCCUGAGGCUGCUUUGGAUGUGUUGGCUUAGCGAGAAGCAGCAUGAACAGCAGAAUCAGCAUAGGAAGUUAGUGGCAGCCGCAGUUUAGCAUGAGGACAACAUAAGGUAAAGGUGUAUCAAAAGGUUUACCUUUAUUCCCGCACACCAUGCAGUCAGGGAUUGGGCUGCAAUGUCCGUGUUGUUUUAUAAUGCCUCAUUUCCCUUUGGUGAAACAACAGAGGAGGAAGGAAUGCAAGAAAACAUGGUUUGUGAGGAUUAUAAAUGAAAUUAAACGUUCUGAGGGCAAUCCUUUUGUUUUGUUUUGUUUUGUUUUCCAUAGUAAUGGUUUUCAAUUUUGCCUAUUAUGUAGCAAGCUUUACUUACUUUCCACCUGUG
Gallus gallus (chicken) is the source of this 1945-nucleotide long non-coding RNA. NCBI's taxonomy places the organism in Eukaryota, Metazoa, Chordata, Aves, Galliformes, Phasianidae. The record is from Ensembl.